Molecule: ribosomal RNA, 610 nt
Filed under: uncultured bacterium
Lineage: Bacteria
Description: bacterial SSU rRNA
Rfam family: Bacterial small subunit ribosomal RNA
Source: RNAcentral
CCUACGGGAGGCAGCAGUGGGGAAUCUUGCGCAAUGGGCGAAAGCCUGACGCAGCAACGCCGCGUGCGGGAUGACGGCCUUCGGGUUGUAAACCGCUUUCAGUGGGGACGAACCAAGACGGUACCCACAGAAGAAGCCCCGGCCAACUACGUGCCAGCAGCCGCGGUAACACGUAGGGGGCGAGCGUUGUCCGGAUUUAUUGGGCGUAAAGAGCUCGUAGGCGGUUCGAUAAGUCGGGUGUGAAACCUCCAGGCUCAACCUGGAGACGCCACCCGAUACUGUCGUGACUAGAGUCCAGUAGGGGAGCGUGGAAUUCCUGGUGUAGCGGUGAAAUGCGCAGAUAUCAGGAGGAACACCAGUGGCGAAGGCGGCGCUCUGGGCUGGAACUGACGCUGAGGAGCGAAAGCGUGGGGAGCGAACAGGAUUAGAUACCCUGGUAGUCCACGCCGUAAACGUUGGGUACUAGGUGUGGGGUCUUAUCAACGGAUUCCGUGCCGCAGCUAACGCAUUAAGUACCCCGCCUGGGGAGUACGGCCGCAAGGGCUAAAACGUCAAAAGUAGUAGUACGGACCGUGAGACGACGCGACGACGACGACGACGGAGGGAGGAG